RNAcentral lists this ribosomal RNA (545 nucleotides) under uncultured bacterium. RNAcentral describes it as "bacterial SSU rRNA". It matches the Rfam family "Bacterial small subunit ribosomal RNA", at positions 788 to 1333 of the family's 1533-position model. The record is from RNAcentral.
UGGUAGUNCACGCCGUAAACGAUGAGUGCUAGGUGUUAGGCCCUUUCCGGGGCUUAGUGCCGCAGCUAACGCAUUAAGCACUCCGCCUGGGGAGUACGACCGCAAGGUUGAAACUCAAAGGAAUUGACGGGGGCCCGCACAAGCGGUGGAGCAUGUGGUUUAAUUCGAAGCAACGCGAAGAACCUUACCAGGUCUUGACAUCCCGAUGCCCGCUCUAGAGAUAGAGUUUUACUUCGGUACAUCGGUGACAGGUGGUGCAUGGUUGUCGUCAGCUCGUGUCGUGAGAUGUUGGGUUAAGUCCCGCAACGAGCGCAACCCUUAUUGUUAGUUGCCAUCAUUCAGUUGGGCACUCUAGCGAGACUGCCGGUAAUAAACCGGAGGAAGGUGGGGAUGACGUCAAAUCAUCAUGCCCCUUAUGACCUGGGCUACACACGUGCUACAAUGGCUGGUACAACGAGUCGCAAGUCGGUGACGGCAAGCUAAUCUCUUAAAGCCAGUCUCAGUUCGGAUUGUAGGCUGCAACUCGCCUACAUGAAGUCGGAAUC